AGCAAUGAUACAGAAAGUAGUAAAAGUUGUACACGGUUUCUACUGAAUCUUCAUGACACGUGUACUUUAAGCAAACACGUGUACUUGAAAUAUAGUGUAACUCUUUCCUCUCACUGAACUUCUUCACUAAUUUACCCGUCUCUUCGCCGCCUUCUCUGCUUCUCUUCUGUCUCUCUCUCACUGAACUCCUUUACCAGUUUAUUGUCUUCUAACUUGAUCCCUUUCUUUGUUCGGUGAUCUUUCCAAUGGAGUUUUUGCAGUGUUUUACAUGAAUAAUAAGUUGUGCUGUCUUCAAAAGCAUGGUCUGCUUGAUAGUGAACUGCAGACAGCUCAUUUUAAGAGAGUAUCUGGAGCACAUGAAAAAGCAGCAUCAGACUGGAAAUAGAGUUGUCCCAUGGCUUCUAAGUACUUUAAUUUUAUAUGGAAAAUUGGUGUAAUGUUGGUAAGUGAAGUAGGGCCUGUUUUUGUUGGAGGUAGGAUUGAGUAUUCCUUCAAUAUUGAUUCUGAUCACUUAUCUAUCCCUGAAUUAGUAGAUAUUGCAAAGGAUUUUGGGGUUACUAAAUUGGGAACCACUUAUAUUGCACCUUCUAAGGGUGGCAAAUUGGUAAAACUAGAGAAAGACAAGAAUUUGUUAGACCUUGGAGUAUUGUUGAAUGAUGGGGACACAAUAGAUAUAUUUAUCUGCAAUGACUCUAAUUUUGAGGAUGUGGGGCAUGUUGGCCAACAUGUGAAUGUUGAAAAGGGAGGUGGUAGUCAAUUAACUAAUAUAAAUGGGGGCAGCAGGGAAUCUGAGCCUUUAUUUAUUCCACACCCACCAAUAAUUGCACCAGCUCCAACUAUAGAUCUAGAUCUAGAGUUUCCUUCUUCUCUAAAUACUUCUGAAAGGGCUGGAUAAAAUAUAAGAGAGGAAGUAGAUGCUGCCAGUGGUGAUUUCCAGAGAGAAGGUUCUGCUAGUGGAGAUCUAAAUAAUUCCAGUACUUCCUCUGAAGAAGAUGCAGGCACUGAAGAAGAAUUUGAACUUUCUGAUGAUUAUGGAAGUGAUGUCCAUGAAGAACUUAGGGUUGUGAAACAAGAUCUAAAGGCUUACAAAGUAAAAAAAGGGAAAAAAAGUAGGAAAGAAAGACCUGAUGGGUUUCUAGGUGAGGUUGGAUUGGAUGAAGGUUAUGAUGAUAUUGAUAAAGAAAGAAAAAAUCUGAAGGAUAAAUUGGGAGGUGAUGAUGAUGAGCCAUAUUACGACUCAUCAGAGGCUGACAGCUUUGCUAGUGAAUCUGAAGGUGAAGCUGUCAGUGAUGAUGAAGUAGUAGAAGAAAACUUGAGGGUAAGGAGAAAGAGUAACGGAGUAGUAUAUGAUCCUUCUUGUGAGAAAGUUAUUUGGGAGAUUAAGUAUUUGAAAAUGUGAAAGAGAUCAGAGAGGCUUUGACCAAGUAUGCUGUAAAGAAAGGGGUUCAACUAGACAAAUAUAAGAAUGAGCCAAGUAGAGUUAGGGUGAAGUGCAAAGAUGGUUGUCCUUGGAUGAUAUAUGCUAGCAAGGAAGGUAGGAGUUCAAAUUUCACAGUCAAGACAUAUAAUCCUAGACAUAAAUGCCAUAAGACCAACAUCAACUUUCUUUGCAAUUCAAAAUAUUUAGCUAAUCAUUAUAAAGAGAGGAUUAUUUCACAACCUACCAUUAAAGGAUGGGAAAUACAAGAUCUUGUUAGGGAGGACUUUGGUGUGUAUGUGGGUAAGGCUAUUUGUUUAAAGACAAGAAAAAUUGUUUUGAAAGAAGUCAUGGGAGAUCAUAUUGCUGAGUUUGGUAGACUUUUUGACUAUAGAGAUGUGCUUCUACAAACAAAUCCUGGUAGCACAUGUAUAGUUAAGGUAGCUGAUUUAGAAGAUGGUAAGAAAGAGUUUAUAAGCUUCUAUAUAUGCUUUGCUGCUAUGAAGAGGGGAUUCUUGGAGGGAUGCAGAAAGUGUAUAGGACUGGAUGGCUGAUUUUUGAAGGGGAUAUACAAAGGACAAUUAUUAGUUGCAGUUGCUAAAGAUGGAAACAAUCAAAUGUUUCCCAUAGCAUGGGCCGUUAUUGGGACUGAAAAUAAGGAAACAUGGACAUGGUUUAUGAGGAUAUUGCAAGAGGACUUACAGCUUGGAGAUGGAAAUGAGAUCACUAUUAUCAGUGAUAUGCAAAAGGGUUUGGUUAGUGCUGCUGAAGAAGUAUUUCCAGCUUGUGAGCACAGAAUGUGUGCAAGACAUAUUCUGUCAAACUGGUCAAAGAAAUGGAGGGGAAUUGAGAGAAGGAAGAAGUUUUGGAGUUGUGCUAGAGCAACAUAUGAGGCCGAAUUGAAAAAGAGGCUAGAUGAAUUAAAUACAUUGGGUCACAAUAUUGUUGAAGAUCUUAUUUCAUACAACAAAGAAAGAUGGUGCAAAGUCUACUUCAAAGAAUUCUCCAAAUGUGACAGUGUGGACAAUAAUAUAUCGGAAAGCUUUAAUGCCUGGAUAUUGGGAGCUAGACAUAAGACAAUUGUGUCAAUGCUAGAAGAAAUUAGAGUCAAGGUCAUGAUAAGGAUACCUAAGAUGAGGGACUUUGCUGAAACUUGGGUGGAUGAGAUAUCUCCAAUGGCACUGAAGAACUUCAACACUAAUGUGGAGAAGUCAAUGAAGUGUAAGAUUCAUUGGAAUGGAGAACAUGGCUUUGAAAUUAAGGAAGGUAUAGCUACGUUUAUUGUUCACCUGAAAAGAGGAUAUUGUAGUUGCAGUUCAUGGCAAUUGAAAGGUAUUCCUUGUGCAUAUGCCAUAACAGCAAUGCAGUUUAGAAUGAUUGAUGCAUCUGAGUCAAUUGCAUCAUGGUAAAGAGACAUAUUUACGAGCUUAUUCCAAUUUCAUACAACCUGUUCCCAAUAUAAUAAUGUGGCCAGCUACAUCAAAUCCAAAGAUUGAGCCACCUACAGUUAGAAAAAUGCCUGGCAGGCCAAAGAAGAAUAGAAGAAAGGAGGAAGGAGAAAUUAAAAGAGCUGAAAAGUUAUCAAAACGGGGAAUAACUAUUACAUGCUCGAUUUGCAAGUCCAUUAAACACAAUAAAAGAAAAUGUCCUUCAAGGCCUGAAGCAACAUCAGCCACAAGAACAGCAGAGUAUAAUGCUACCCAACAGUCAUCUACUGGAAGUACAAGAAAGAGAAGUGUUGUUGACAGUCAACAAGAAUCUACAAGCAAGGAAGGUGAAGCUAGAGCGAGCAGACGUAAGUACAAGAGUCCAAGAGUUGUGGGGCAUGGUGUAUUUGUAUCUAAGACUGGUUAUAGUUGUGUUAAUCAAGGUCUGCAAAGCAGCAGAUUAGUUACCACACCUACAAUGAUAAAUUCCGCAGAAGUUACAGGUGAUAUUGGGUAUAAGACUAGCAAGUCUUUGAAGUGGAAAGGAAAGCCCGCUAUUAGCCAAAGACAACUCCAAAUGAAAAGUACUAUGCAUAGAGUCCAGAAAAAAGCAAAGGCUAUUAAGAUUCAAGCAAGAUCUCAAACUGGAAAAUCUCCGUCCAAAGAACCAACAUAGCUAUGUUCUAUGAUUAAGUUAGUUUUUUUGGUGUAUGCUUAGUAUGUAAUCAGAUGAUUACAACUUUCUUUGUGGUAGUAUUUUUGUGUAGCUUUUUUGGGUGAAACAACUCUUUUGUGAUACUCGUAGUAUUUUGUGUAGCUGUUCGAUACUAGUAGUAUUUUGUGUAGCUGUCAGAUAUGUUUGGUAAAAUAGCUCUUUUGUAUACUGUCAAGAUUUUUGUUGCUAUCCAGUUUUGUAAACAGCGUGUA
Molecule: RNA transcript, 3771 nt
Organism: Nicotiana attenuata
Lineage: Eukaryota; Viridiplantae; Streptophyta; Magnoliopsida; Solanales; Solanaceae
Exons: 7
Source: RefSeq, a predicted model, not a curated record